This 73-nucleotide transfer RNA is filed under the name Rhodocyclaceae bacterium. Its description in RNAcentral is "tRNA-Thr". It matches the Rfam family "tRNA". From Rfam's summary of the family: Transfer RNA (tRNA) molecules are approximately 80 nucleotides in length. Their secondary structure includes four short double-helical elements and three loops (D, anti-codon, and T loops). Lineage: Bacteria; Pseudomonadati; Pseudomonadota; Betaproteobacteria; Rhodocyclales; Rhodocyclaceae. RNAcentral also lists the same sequence under 1 other name. The record is from RNAcentral.
GCCGGCAUAGCUCAGUUGGCAGAGCAGCUGAUUUGUAAUCAGAAGGUCGCGGGUUCGAUUCCUGCUGCCGGCA